This 264-nucleotide long non-coding RNA is filed under the name Setaria viridis. RNAcentral's name for it is "long non-coding RNA (SVIR_LNC011154)". Lineage: Eukaryota; Viridiplantae; Streptophyta; Magnoliopsida; Poales; Poaceae. The record is from RNAcentral.
CCCAAUCCAUGCAACAUCGAGCAUCUACGAUGUUUCUACCCUUAGAAUAUAAAGCUAUGUACUUGGUUUCCCUUUUUAUUGAAUAAAUAAAACCUUUGUGGUUCUUUUUGUGUACCUAAUGCCUUACUAUUAUCCUUCCCAAGUUGUCUCUCAUGCUCGGGGGCUGUCCACCCUAUUAAGCAGCCCACUCACUCAUAAGCUUGGGGUCUCCCCCCCCCCCCCGGCGCUGACCUCUGGGUCACGCCCUUUCUCUCCUCCCCUCCC